GACGAACGCUGGCGGCGUGCUUAACACAUGCAAGUCGAACGAUGAACCACUUCGGUGGGGAUUAGUGGCGAACGGGUGAGUAACACGUGGGCAAUCUGCCCUUCACUCUGGGACAAGCCCUGGAAACGGGGUCUAAUACCGGAUACCACUCUCGCGGGCAUCUGCGAGGGUUGAAAGCUCCGGCGGUGAAGGAUGAGCCCGCGGCCUAUCAGCUUGUUGGUGAGGUAAUGGCUCACCAAGGCGACGACGGGUAGCCGGCCUGAGAGGGCGACCGGCCACACUGGGACUGAGACACGGCCCAGACUCCUACGGGAGGCAGCAGUGGGGAAUAUUGCACAAUGGGCGAAAGCCUGAUGCAGCGACG
This 364-nucleotide ribosomal RNA is filed under the name uncultured bacterium. Its description in RNAcentral is "bacterial SSU rRNA". It matches the Rfam family "Bacterial small subunit ribosomal RNA", at positions 28 to 396 of the family's 1533-position model. The record is from RNAcentral.